AUUGAACGCUGGCGGCAUGCUUUACACAUGCAAGUCGAGCGGCAGCGCGGCCUUCGGGCUGGUCGCGAGCGGCGGACGGGCGAGUAAUGCAUCGGAACAUGCCCAGUCGUGGGGGCUAGCACUUCGAAAGAAGUGCUAAUACCGCAUCGGUCAUGAGGGUGAAAGCGGGGGAUCGCAAGACCUCGCGCGAUUGGAGUGCACGAUGUCAGAUUAGCUAGUUGGUGGGGUAAAGGCCUACCAAGGCGACGAUCUGUAGCUGGUCUGAGAGGGUGAUCAGCCACACUGGGACUGAGACACGGCCCAGACUCCUACGGGAGGCAGCAGUGGGGAAUUUUCGACAAUGGGGGCAACCCUGACCCAGCAAUGCCGCGUGAGUGAAGAAGGCCUUCGGGUUGUAAAGCUCUGUCAGCAGGAACGAAACGGUGGGCUCUAACAUAGUCAGCUAAUGACGGUACCUGAAGAAAAAGCACCGGCUAACUACGUG
RNAcentral lists this ribosomal RNA (484 nucleotides) under uncultured bacterium. RNAcentral's name for it is "partial 16S ribosomal RNA". It matches the Rfam family "Bacterial small subunit ribosomal RNA", at positions 29 to 507 of the family's 1533-position model. The record is from RNAcentral.